UUUCAGAGUGUGCCGACGAACCGGGCAGCGAUGGCUGGCCGGGGUCUGCUGCCGCUGCUGCGUCUGCUACUCUUCGUCAUCGCGCUGGAGGCGUCUUCAUCACUUUCAAGUUAUACAUCGACUCAUCGCAGGAGCCUCUCUUCUUGGUCACCCUCUCUUCACUCACGAGUCAACGGAUCUACGAUAAAACAUUACAAGAUGAAAAGAGAAUUACCCGAUGGAUCAGGAAAGAGGGCAGCAAAAGGGCCCCCACAACGAGGAAACAAAACGUGCCCGCAGGCGCUGCUCCUCCAAAUAGUAUAUUAAAAGUUUCAAAAUGGAGGCCAGAUACUUCCCUCUUGAAAGUGUUAAGUUGUGGGUAGGAGGAAAUUCAGAUACAGAAAUGCUGUUUCAGAGUUUACAAGCGAAAUGAAGGAACACAUGUAGAUGCUAGUUAGCUUGCAUAAGAAAUUUGGAUGAUACAUAUAGGAAUGAGCAGGAGUAGAAUGUCAGCAGGUCAUAAAAGUGAUGAAGGCGUGCAGUUAUCAAGUUUAGAAGAGCAUUCAGCAUAACCAUAUUGAUAGAAGACAGAAAGAGAGGCAUCAUUAUGGCAGAGGUUAAGCGGAAGAAGACUGUCAGUAAGAGGAGGAGAAUUGAAGAUACAUUUUGGGGCCCUUUUGGUGCCUGAUUUCCUGUAAGACGAUUGCAGUCUUACAGUCUCGUGAUGGAACACUUUUAUUUUUUCUCUAUUCAUGUGAGUGUGGAACCAUCCCCACACAUGACAUGCUUGCUCCAUAUGAGAGCUGUUACCUUUUAGCCCAGUUUAGCCACUGGGCGGUCAGGGAGUCUUGGUAAAAUACAAGAAAACAAACAAACAGAAAACAAAACGGAGAUACUACCAUGCCUCACCCCGGGGCACCGGGGGACCAGGAACCUCAAGAAUGAAGAUUGAUUGAUGAUUGAACAUGAAAAAAUAUUACUUUAUAUAUGAUAAUUAAUUAAUGAAGAAGUAAAUGCCACGAUAUCACUCAGUUCUGUCUGUUUAUUAUGAAUUUGCAGUUCAUGAAACUUUGACAGCCCAUUUCUCAAAACAUAACAUUUAUAACUUUGAACUUCAUCUCCUCCGUCAUUUUCCAAACCAACUUUAAUGAAACAAAAACUCAAGCUAUACCUAGACUUGUCUGAUUGAAACACCACCUCGGUUUUCUUCAUAACUGAAAGGACUGAAUUUUCAAAUAUGUUUUCCCUGCCUCUAGAAGGAUGAAAAAGUAAAAAAAAUCAUAUUUCUCAAACGAAGGAUUUUCUGUAAAAUGUAGAUGUACUGUUUUCAUUGUCAAAGCAAGGUCCUAACACCAUAUAUGUUUCAUUGGUGUAGAACAAUUCGUAUAGGAGAAGAUGUGAUUUGAAAAAUAUAUCAAAUUUGGACAUCCAUAUAUGGGUAAAAAAUAGGAAGGGGUCCUACAUCGGAUUUUGUGGGCUAGAAUUGAUGUAUAUGGUGCCCCUUACUUCCUGUAUAAAUAGCAUUGGCAUAACCCAAUAAAAAAAAAAAAAAAAUUUGGAGCAACCGGCCCCUUAAUGCUCCUUUCAGAUAGUUCAGUUUAUUCACAGGAGUCAGUUCCGAUCUUGUAUCGAUUUUCCUCUUUGUAGACAUAUUUGAAUUUAAUUUAAGAUUAACCGCUCAAGAGCUGCUCAGGAAAUUACGUGACCGAAUUAAUCAACAACAAGGGGGUGGGUAAAUACUAACAAAUUUAAUGUCAUCUAAUUAUAUUCACCUGCCCACUACUCAUAAUUAAAAUUAAUGGCAUCCUGGAAUUCGUGCCAAAUGUGUUGUCUUCCUUCCCAGGUCGGAUGUAGCUACACAGUCCAUGACCCGCAAGUUCAUAGGAAUGAUUCAAUGGUCUUACGAAUCUCAAACAACUCAGCCGACAGUUCUUCCACGUGUGUCUCGGCACUGUCAUUAACUCCCAGCACGAUAUUCAAUAAUUGGUAGCAUGGUUAUAACACUUCCCGGAAGUGUGAUAAAUUAUCAGCCUGGGCGCCACCAUA
Eriocheir sinensis (Chinese mitten crab) is the source of this 2025-nucleotide long non-coding RNA. RefSeq lists it as uncharacterized. Lineage: Eukaryota; Metazoa; Arthropoda; Malacostraca; Decapoda; Varunidae. The transcript has 4 exons. The record is from RefSeq and is a predicted model, not a curated record.